GACAUCAGGAGGUUAGUGCAAUGGCAUAAGCCAGCUUGACUGCGAGCGUGACGGCGCGAGCAGGUGCGAAAGCAGGUCAUAGUGAUCCGGUGGUUCUGAAUGGAAGGGCCAUCGCUCAACGGAUAAAAGGUACUCCGGGGAUAACAGGCUGAUACCGCCCAAGAGUUCAUAUCGACGGCGGUGUUUGGCACCUCGAUGUCGGCUCAUCACAUCCUGGGGCUGAAGUAGGUCCCAAGGGUAUGGCUGUUCGCCAUUUAAAGUGGUACGCGAGCUGGGUUUAGAACGUCGUGAGACAGUUCGGUCCCUAUCUGCCGUGGGCGCUGGAGAACUGAGGGGGGCUGCUCCUAGUACGAGAGGACCGGAGUGGACGCAUCACUGGUGUUCGGGUUGUCAUGCCAAUGGCACUGCCCGGUAGCUAAAUGCGGAAGAGAUAAGUGCUGAAAGCAUCUAAGCACGAAACUUGCCCCGAGAUGAGUUCUCC
This 481-nucleotide ribosomal RNA is filed under the name Salmonella enterica subsp. enterica serovar Enteritidis. RNAcentral describes it as "partial 23S ribosomal RNA". It matches the Rfam family "Bacterial large subunit ribosomal RNA", at positions 2334 to 2814 of the family's 2925-position model. Lineage: Bacteria; Pseudomonadati; Pseudomonadota; Gammaproteobacteria; Enterobacterales; Enterobacteriaceae. The record is from RNAcentral.